UACGUAGGGUGCAAGCGUUGUUCGGAAUUAUUGGGCGUAAAGCGCGUGUAGGUUGCUAAGUAAGUCGAUUGUAAAAGCCCUAGGCUCAACCAAGGAAGUGCAUUCGAAACUACUUAGCUAGAGGAUGGCAGAGGAAGGUGGAAUUCCAAGUGUAGAGGUGAAAUUCGUAGAUAUUUGGAGGAAUACCGGCGGCGAAGGCGGCCUUCUGGACCAUUCCUGACACUGAGACGCGAAAGCGUGGGGAGCAAACAGG
RNAcentral lists this ribosomal RNA (253 nucleotides) under uncultured bacterium. RNAcentral describes it as "partial 16S ribosomal RNA". It matches the Rfam family "Bacterial small subunit ribosomal RNA", at positions 524 to 776 of the family's 1533-position model. The record is from RNAcentral.